Molecule: ribosomal RNA, 495 nt
Filed under: uncultured bacterium
Lineage: Bacteria
Description: partial 16S ribosomal RNA
Rfam family: Bacterial small subunit ribosomal RNA
Source: RNAcentral
GACGAACGCUGGCGGCGUGCCUAAUACAUGCAAGUAGAACGCUGAAGGAGGAGCUUGCUUCUCCGGGUGAGUUGCGAACGGGUGAGUAACGCGUAGGUAACCUGCCUGGUAGCGGGGGAUAACUAUUGGAAACGAUAGCUAAUACCGCAUAAGAGUAGAUGUCGCAUGACAUUUGCUUAAAAGGUGCAACUGCACCACUACCAGAUGGACCUGCGUUGUAUUAGCUAGUUGGUGAGGUAACGGCUCACCAAGGCAACGAUACAUAGCCGACCUGAGAGGGUGAUCGGCCACACUGGGACUGAGACACGGCCCAGACUCCUACGGGAGGCAGCAGUAGGGAAUCUUCGGCAAUGGACGGAAGUCUGACCGAGCAACGCCGCGUGAGUGAAGAAGGUUUUCGGAUCGUAAAGCUCUGUUGUAAGAGAAGAACGAGUGUGAGAGUGGAAAGUUCACACUGUGACGGUAACUUACCAGAAAGGGACGGCUAACUACGUG